AGCCCCAGCACCAGGAUUCCCAGGUGUUCCAAUCAGUACUCAGGACAGGACACAGACAACUCACCAUGGAGUUUGUGCUUGGCUGGGUUUUCCUUGUUGCUCUUUUAAAAGGUGUCCAGGGUGAGGUGGAGCUGGUGGAGUCUGGGGGAGACCUGGUGAAGCCUGGGGGAUCCCUGAGACUCUCCUGUGCAGCCUCUGGAUCCACCUUCAGUAGCUAUGCCAUGUACUGGGUCCGCCAGGCUCCAGGGAAGGGGCUGCAAUGGGUCGCAAUUAUUGGCAGUGAUGGAAGUAGCACAAGAUACGCAGACUCUGUGAAGGGCCGAUUCACCAUCUCCAGAGACAACGGCAAGAACACGCUGUAUCUGCAGAUGAACAGCCUGAGAGUGGAGGACACGGCCAUGUAUUACUGUGCAACAGACACAGUGAGGGGACAUCAGUGUGAGCCCAGACACAAACCUCACUGUCCACCCAGCUCAAUGUGCAAACUUGAUAGAAGCAGCACAACGUGCAUGCUGGACAUGAGGCUACGGAGGCAUCAACAAGCCAAAGUAAAAGAAGAAACGGUCUUGGUUUGGGAGUCACUGUCUUAA
Neogale vison (American mink) is the source of this 590-nucleotide non-coding RNA. Lineage: Eukaryota; Metazoa; Chordata; Mammalia; Carnivora; Mustelidae. The record is from the annotation of a RefSeq genome assembly.